Lates calcarifer (barramundi perch) is the source of this 1421-nucleotide long non-coding RNA. RefSeq lists it as uncharacterized. The record is from RefSeq and is a predicted model, not a curated record. NCBI's taxonomy places the organism in Eukaryota, Metazoa, Chordata, Actinopteri, Centropomidae. The transcript is spliced from 5 exons.
CCGCGACAAUGAGCAGGUGAGUUUUAUCUCUGCUUUGUCUACUGGGCAGAGUUUACACCAGACUUUUAUUUUGAAGGCCAAUAGAACAACUACUGUUCAUGUUGAUGUUUGAGACAGAAGCUGCUGCAGCUCAGACUGAGUCUGUGUCUGACAACAGUACGACAGGAUUCCUACAGUUUAACCACAAACAUCUCUACUGACAAAACCGUGGUUUAACCAGCAGCUGCUACUGUGUGGUGCUUUUACUUCAGUAACACAAACACAGUUGUCGACAUAAUUUAUAUGUCAAAUAACAGACUGUUUAUUUUGCUGAUUUUCCAUCAGAUCCAUUUAUUUUGGCUGCUCAUGCAAACUGUGCUGCUGCAGUUCAUGUUUAACCUCUGUGCAUACAUGUCCAUAAUAAAUACAUGUAAAUACAGUGUAAAGAGUCCAGAGAAUCAAACUACAGUCCUGCUCUCAGUCUGAAUCAUCAGGUUCAUGGUGUGAAAGGAAGUCAGUCAGUCAGAGAUCAAUCAGUCAGUCAGUCAGAGAUCAGUCAGUCAGUCAGAGAUCAGUCAGUCAGUCAGAGAUCAAUCAGUCAGUCAGAGAUCAGUCAGUCAGUCAGAGAUCAGUCAGUCAGAGAUCAGUCAGUCAGUCAGAGAUCAGUCAGUCAGUCAGUCAGAGAUCAGUCAGAGAUCAGUCAGUCAGUCAGAGAUCAGUCAGUCAGAGAUCAGUCAGUCAGUCAGAGAUCAGUCAGUCAGAGAUCAGUCAGUCAGUCAGAGAUCAGUCAGAGAUCAGUCAGUCAGAGAUCAGUCAGAGAUCAGUCAGAGAUCAGUCAGUCAGAGAUCAGUCAGUCAGUCAGAGAUCAGUCAGUCAGUCAGAGAUCAGUCAGUCAGAGAUCAGUCAGUCAGUCAGAGAUCAGUCAGUCAGAGAUCAGUCAGUCAGUCAGAGAUCAGUCAAUCAGUCAGUCAGAGAUCAGUCAGUCAGUCAGAGAUCAGUCAGUCAGUCAGUCAGAGAUCAGUCAGAGAUCAGUCAGUCAGUCAGAGAUCAGUCAGUCAGAGAUCAGUCAGUCAGUCAGAGAUCAGUCAGAGAUCAGUCAGUCAGAGAUCAGUCAAUCAGUCAGUCAGAGAUCAGUCAGAGAUCAGUCAGUCAGUCAGAGAUCAGUCAGAGAUCAGUCAGUCAGUCAGAGAUCAGUCAGUCAGUCAGAGAUCAGUCAGUCAGAGAUCAGUCAGUCAGUCAGAGAUCAGUCAGAGAUCAGUCAGUCAGUCAGAGAUCAGUCAGUCAGAGAUCAGUCAGUCAGUCAGAGAUCAGUCAGUCAGUCAGUCAGAGAUCAGUCAGAGAUCAGUCAGUCAGUCAGAGAUCAGUCAGAGAUCAGUCAGUCAGUCAGAGAUCAGUCAGUCAGAGAUCAGUCAGUCAGUCAGAGAUCAGUCAGUCAGAGAUCA